AUUUCCAAGACACUUCUUUUGGGUAAAAUUUUCAUCUGACACGAAGAUCCUGGUUGGCCACGUUCGAUGACGCUUUCAAAUUAGUGUCAAGCUAGCUCCCACUAGCUCCUUCUAAUUCACACGUCCAUGGAACCUGCGUUCUGCAGCUGACUUCACACUGGCUCUAAUCCGUCCCCUGUAUAUUGCAGUGGAUCUAACGCUGAAGUCAGUUAUUAUAGAAUCGUCCCAGUGAUGAAGAAUUAAUAGGUUUAAUUGCGAAAUACUGCGGUUCUAGAAGAAAAGAUUAAGGCACGUACUCUGGUGCGAAUUCCUAACCAAGUUAAACAAAUAAUGCAAAAUUCAUUACUCGUGGAAAUAUUAGCGAACGGAGGACUGAAUCUCAGAGCAGAGAACAAAAAUCGAGAAUCGAAGACUUAGCCAAUUACUGGGCAACCUAAUGAAUAUCAGCAACACAACAGAAACUUAAUAACUUAAUAACCAAAAACAAAUCCAGAACCAAAACCAGAACUAGAGCCUGAAAUAGAAGCAGAACUAUUAUUAAUGCAAUCAUUGUGACAGAUGGUUCUACAUUUGUUACAGUUGUCUUAAAUAUGGAGGACAAGGCUGCUUCUAGGAAGAUAAGAGUUCCCAUAGUGCAUAAAAUAAUACACAUUAUGUAGCAUUACAUAAUGAUUACAUGGAAGUUCAAUAAUUGUUUUAUAUGAAGUAAAAAGUGAGAGGAUACUAUAAACAAAUGCUACAAGUGAAAAUUUAUAAGCAUAAUUUUCAUAAUUUAUGGUGAGGCAUGGAAUAUAUAAAUGUGUAUGUAAAUUAGAG
Long non-coding RNA from Belonocnema kinseyi, 816 nucleotides. RefSeq lists it as uncharacterized. The transcript has 4 exons. NCBI's taxonomy places the organism in Eukaryota, Metazoa, Arthropoda, Insecta, Hymenoptera, Cynipidae. The record is from RefSeq and is a predicted model, not a curated record.